GAUUAACGCUGGCGGCGUGCAUAACACAUGCAAGUCGAACGAGGUGGAGGACUGGUGAGUAACGCGUGAGUAACCUGCCUUACACAAGGGGAUAGCCGAUGGAAACGACGAAUAAUACCCUAUGGUGUAAGAUGGACUCGCGUCUGAUUGGAUAGUUGGUGCGGUAACGGCCCACCAAGGCAACGAUCAGUAGCCGGCUUUAGGGCAUGGACGGCAACAUUGGGACUGAGACACGGCCCAGACUUUGCGGGAGGCAGCAGUGUGGAAUUUUGCACGAUGGGGGAAACCCUGAGGCAGCGAGGCCGUGUGAUUCAGAAGGCGUUCGGGUUGUAAAAAUCUUUUAUAUGGGAAGCAGUACCAUCCGAAUAAGGACCGGCUAAUUACGUGCCAGCAGCCGCGGUAAUAC
This 406-nucleotide ribosomal RNA is filed under the name uncultured bacterium. Its description in RNAcentral is "partial 16S ribosomal RNA". It matches the Rfam family "Bacterial small subunit ribosomal RNA", at positions 28 to 526 of the family's 1533-position model. The record is from RNAcentral.